UACGUAGGGGGCAAGCGUUGUCCGGAAUCAUUGGGCGUAAAGCGCGUGUAGGCGGCCAGAUAAGUCCGCUGUGAAAUCUCGAGGCUCAACUUCGAGCUGUCGGUGGAAACUAUCUGGCUAGAGUCCGGAAGAGGAGAAUGGAAUUCCUGGUGUAGCGGUGAAAUGCGCAGAUAUCAGGAAGAACACCCGUGGCGAAGGCGGUUCUCUGGGACGGUACUGACGCUGAGACGCGAAAGCGUGGGGAGCGAACAGG
RNAcentral lists this ribosomal RNA (253 nucleotides) under uncultured bacterium. RNAcentral's name for it is "partial 16S ribosomal RNA". It matches the Rfam family "Bacterial small subunit ribosomal RNA", at positions 524 to 776 of the family's 1533-position model. The record is from RNAcentral.